CCCAGCGCCUCAUGUGCACCCUAAAUAUUAAAGUCUCCAUGAAAACUCCAGUUUCUAGUAUGUGACACCCUAGGUCCCUGGGGUCACCAGGAAAGAACAGGUGACCAGGAUCUAGACUUCCCAAAGCCACCUGGUGUCCUCAUGAUUCCCCAGGAGGCAAGAGCAGGAAGACAGCACAUUGGCCAAUGACUGGUUCACCAGUCACUAGGACAGGGUGGUGACUUUGAACCAACUGCUGAGCCAGCCCUUCCCAGCCACACUGCACAGCCUCUAUCACUCCCUUAGGGACUGAGUGCAGCUGGACUCCAAUGGGGUGGGACUUCUGUGGUGUGACCUAGUGAGGAGGAGGGGCACCAAGGCUGCCAGAACACUCACAGCCUGGUCAGUCCUGGCAGCCACAACUCCCAGACCACACCCACUGCUCCUGGGAUUCUUCCAACUCUCAGCAUAGGACACUGACUGGCCCUCGCUCUGUCCUGCCCUGUUCAGUGACUGGGACAGUGAAGUAACUCAGCCAACGGGAAGGGCUGCUUACAGCCAAUUGCAUCAGAUCAGUCCCCUGGUCACAAGGGCGAGUUUUACUUGCAUGGGUGCCUGUCUCUCCACUGGGGUGCCCUCACUGAGCUGUCUGGGGGUAGAGUACAGGGUGAGUGUCAUGCCUGGAGACAGAAUACACUUCACCAAACGCACUCUGACCCUGGGUUGUUGGCUCUUUCAGAGCCUGCUUGGCGUUGAGGGCUCUGUAUGGAGUCCCCUGAGCCUGAGGUGCCAGCUUUGAGCUGGCUACCAGGCUCAAGGACAGCAGAACAACAGUUUGGAACGGGACGAAGGCGGCCGCGGCCACCAGAAGCCUUGAGUGCCAUUCUGCGCAAGCGCAUGGACGCCAGGUCGGCCUCUCCACUCCGGGCACACGCCCGGAUCGCGCAGCCGCACUCCGCGACGCCGUCGAUGCCUUUCCACGCUCGGCUCCACAUCGGGAACGCGCAGCCGCACUUCCUCAGUGCUCCACGCGCCACUUCUCUCUGAGCCCCCCCCAACAAGCUCGAAGAGCGCAGCCGCGUUAGGCGCCCCAAGGCGCUGUUUGCGCAGUUGCACUAGGCG
RNAcentral lists this long non-coding RNA (1101 nucleotides) under Cricetulus griseus (Chinese hamster). Its description in RNAcentral is "lncRNA (ENSCGRG00000026566.1)". The record is from RNAcentral. Lineage: Eukaryota; Metazoa; Chordata; Mammalia; Rodentia; Cricetidae.